This 763-nucleotide long non-coding RNA is filed under the name Nilaparvata lugens (brown planthopper). Its description in RNAcentral is "uncharacterized LOC111054265". The record is from RNAcentral. Lineage: Eukaryota; Metazoa; Arthropoda; Insecta; Hemiptera; Delphacidae.
AGAAAUUGAAAAUGGAUUUACAACAGAAAGGCGUAAAAUUCAUUAUAAAUUUGAUGCGACAGUUCAAAGUUUUGUACUUUCCAGACCUGCACAACGAAUUACCUAUUUGAAAAAUAGAAUAUGGUUAAAAAUUGCUGAUAUGAUAGAGGAUUCAAGUACUAUUUACAAACAAAAUAUUGAAGAGAAUGUGCUCAAAAGGAAAUGCAUAUGAAUUCUUUUUUGUUGACCAGGAUGGAAAAAUUCUUUGGAACCCAUGGUUAGAAUAAGUUAGUUAGGCCUAGAGGUGUAUUAGCCAGAAGUAGAGGAUGACAAAGAAAAUCAACUAUGAAUAAUAUUCCAUGGAUAUGAUUCAUGUAUGAUGUAGUAGCCUACAGAAGAAAGAGAUGGACUAAUCUAAGAAAUAUAUUCAUUUUUUCAGUACAUCUUGAUGUGUUUAUUUCAUCUUAUUCAUAAUAAUAUAUUCUUUUUCUGAUCGCUCCUGCUAACUGCUUCAAUUCAGGUAGUUUUGAAGAAAACAGCAAGUGACAUGAAGCUAAUAAAAUGAGUUUUGAUGGUUUAUACUUGAGGAUUUUUAAAAUUAUAUUCAACCCUACAGCAUCGAACUCUUAUUAACAUGACUUUAUUGGUUCUGUAUGGCUUCUACUUUUUUGGAAAUAAUAACAUUAUUUAACAUUGUUGACUAGCAAAUGCUAGAGGUAACGUGUAGUUAAAUAAUAGACUUUAAUUGGAUAUAAAAUAGGGUAUCACAAUUAUGUAUUGCAUU